Molecule: ribosomal RNA, 219 nt
Filed under: uncultured bacterium
Lineage: Bacteria
Description: partial 16S ribosomal RNA
Rfam family: Bacterial small subunit ribosomal RNA
Source: RNAcentral
AUUGAACGCUGGCGGCAUGCUUUACACAUGCAAGUCGAACGGCAGCACGGGGGCAACCCUGGUGGCGAGUGGCGAACGGGUGAGUAACACAUCGGAACGUGCCCAGUGUGGGGAUAACCUAUCGAAAGUAGGCUAAUACCGCAUGAGCUCGGCAAGAGGAAAGCGGGGGACUCAGCGAUGGGCCUCGCGCGACUGGAGCGGCCGAUGUCCGAUUAGCUA